GACGAACGCUGGCGGCGUGCUUAACACAUGCAAGUCGAGCGAUGAAGUUCCUUCGGGAAUGGAUUAGCGGCGGACGGGUGAGUAACACGUGGGUAACCUGCCUCAUAGAGGGGAAUAGCCUUUCGAAAGGAAGAUUAAUACCGCAUAAGAUUGUAGUAUCGCAUGAUACAGCAAUUAAAGGAGUAAUCCGCUAUGAGAUGGACCCGCGUCGCAUUAGCUAGUUGGUGCGUGAACGGCUCACCAAGGCGACGAUGGGUAGCCGACCUGAGAGGGUGAUCGGCCACAUUGGGACUGAGACACGGCCCAGACUCCUACGGGAGGCAGCAGUGGGGAAUAUUGCACAAUGGGGGAAACCCUGAUGCAGCAACGCCGCGUGAGUGAUGACGGUCUUCGGAUUGUAAAACUCUGUCUUCAGGGACGAUAAUGACGGUACCUGAGGAGGAAGCCACGGCUAACUACGUGCCAGCAGCCGCGGUAA
Molecule: ribosomal RNA, 478 nt
Filed under: uncultured bacterium
Lineage: Bacteria
Description: partial 16S ribosomal RNA
Rfam family: Bacterial small subunit ribosomal RNA
Source: RNAcentral